ACAUUUUUAGUUUCAGAAGAAUUCAGGCUUCUGGAAUCUUCUUGCCCCUCUGAUGUUUGCCAGGUCCAGAAGUCUAUAAAAAUAACGCUGAAAGUGAACCUCACUUCCUUUUUCCUGGUUAAGCAGCAGAGGUUUCGAAAACCAUGGAGUUGCUUCAUACUUUUUCCAGAUGGAGACGCAGUAAACCACCGAGCAGCAAACACGACGGUAAUGGUUUUGUCUCCCUGAUGUCUCUGUCUUUCACACCUUCUUAUUUAUCCUUUAAAGAUGGAGUGAAUACACACGUCUGGAGAGUUGAUGAACAACCUUACAUUAAUAAAAUCUAGAAGAUUCUACAUGUGAAAGUUUCCACUGUGCAGAAAUGAUGUGAAUUCAUAUCAGGCUUAAGAGCUGCACUUAAUGACUUUCAAUGAAUUCCAGCGAACCCACGAGGAGACGAGUGAGAGAGGGACAUGAGGGACAUGUUAAUGAAUCUGGAACAAAAGAACCGACAACACUCGACAGAACCGGAGGCCAAUAAAUCUUUAAGAAGCAUCUUUAAGAAAUAAUGAAGGUGGAAUCGAAAGAAAACCCAUAGAGACAGUGAGAAGAUGUGAAGCUCAGGAUGGAGCUGAGAAGAUGAGAGCGUUCUACAUAAAGUGGAGUGAGAGAAGAAGCCGAGGGAGUAACGCUGCGCUCAGCUACAGUCAGUAACUCUAACGGAGGUCAUUUCCGACCUCCAACUAGGAGAAACCCAAUCUGACUCGAGCGACAGUGCGCUCUCAAACACAUCGAGCUGGAAGAUUCCGAGUUCACACUCCAGACUUCUGAGGUAAACUUCACAACGCAGCGCUGCACCAACACUUUGGGAUAAAGAACUGGAACACAGCUAGUGGAAAAAUGAAGAUCUCAACAGAAGCUCCUGCCAACAGUGUGAGUGUAUGGUGUGAGUGAACAGUGUGAGUGAAGAGUGUGUGUGAAGAGUGGGUGUGAAGAGUGUGUGUGAAGA
Molecule: long non-coding RNA, 988 nt
Organism: Tachysurus fulvidraco (yellow catfish)
Lineage: Eukaryota; Metazoa; Chordata; Actinopteri; Siluriformes; Bagridae
Exons: 3
Source: RefSeq, a predicted model, not a curated record